Acanthochromis polyacanthus (spiny chromis) is the source of this 244-nucleotide long non-coding RNA. RefSeq lists it as uncharacterized. The transcript has 2 exons. NCBI's taxonomy places the organism in Eukaryota, Metazoa, Chordata, Actinopteri, Pomacentridae. The record is from RefSeq and is a predicted model, not a curated record.
UUGCAAUUUAAACAGUUCGAAUUUAUUCAUUAUUUAUUUCCUUAAUCCAUUUUUCUUUUGCAAACAUUCUGCCAGCAGGUGAAGUUUACACAGAGUUAAUCUGCUAUUCUUUUCAGAAGAAGCGCGGCUCAUUAACUUACAAUCAAGCAAGGUUUAAAAAAAAAAAAAGUAUUGUUCGCGAGGAAACGACUUUAUACUGUCAGCCAGUCGGUGCUGUUAUCAGUCAAACCACACAGAGGAUGAA